RNAcentral lists this ribosomal RNA (253 nucleotides) under uncultured bacterium. RNAcentral's name for it is "partial 16S ribosomal RNA". It matches the Rfam family "Bacterial small subunit ribosomal RNA", at positions 524 to 776 of the family's 1533-position model. The record is from RNAcentral.
UACAGAGGGUGCGAGCGUUAAUCGGAAUUACUGGGCGUAAAGCGUGCGUAGACGGUUAUUUAAGUCGGGUGUGAAAGCCCCGGGCUCAACCUGGGAAUUGCAUUCGAGACUGAAUAGCUAGGGUACGGUAGAGGGAAGCGGAAUUUCCGGUGUAGCGGUGAAAUGCGUAGAUAUCGGAAGGAACAUCCAUGGCGAAGGCAGCUACCUGGACCAACACUGACACUGAGGCACGAAAGCGUGGGGAGCAAACAGG